Sorghum bicolor (sorghum) is the source of this 1189-nucleotide long non-coding RNA. RefSeq lists it as uncharacterized. The transcript has 4 exons. NCBI's taxonomy places the organism in Eukaryota, Viridiplantae, Streptophyta, Magnoliopsida, Poales, Poaceae. The record is from RefSeq and is a predicted model, not a curated record.
UUCCCGUGCGCUUGCGAGUCGCACGCAGCUAUUUUCUUCCGCUCGCGACGCCGCCUAGUUGCGACGCCGCCGCCGCUCGCCCAGAUGCUCUAGGCGCCGCCGCCGGACUCCAUCCAGAUCGAGACGGGGAAGGAGCACCGCAUCACGUUCCCGGAGCAGUUGUUGCCCUUGCACCACCAGCAGAGCAGGGGCCUGUCGUCUCGUGGCGCCAGCAGGGAGAGCCGUGGCGGUGGCGGGGAGCCAGGAGUCUCGGAGGUCUCGCACCUGGGCAGGAGCUCGAGGAAGCCGCGUCCAUGUUCGCGGACAAGUGCUUGCUAAAUCUCUCCAACUAAUAAAGGCAUGAUGCUUUUGCAAGAGUGAUUUUCUACUGCGUCUUGGGACAGGGUGACACUGGUGUCAGGACUAUGCUGUGUGAAUGAAAAUUGACAGCAUGCAAGUGCAGUUCAGUUGGUUCGUCUGGCGUUGUUAAGCAUAGUAGGUCAUAAAAACUUAAUGUGUUUUAGUGCACGCCAAGGGCCAUGCUUAAUAGUUCAUAGAUUUAUGUUUCUGAGAACUCUGUUCAUUUUGCUUGAAUGAGACAAUAGUUUUCGGCUAGCUGCUGUAGUUGCCUUUUGAAUCCCAUUAUUAGUGGUACUAUGUUACUUAAAAUAGGUGUUACAUUUUUUGCUGAAUUUGGUUUGAAAUUUGAACUACCAGAGACUCUAGUUGGAAUGAGCAUGGCCUGGUGAAACUACUUCUUAUAGCACCACAUUUUGAGAAUUUUAUGUAACUUUGAUCGGCUGAGCCAAGGUUGUCAAGUGGGCAUAUGAACGUAUUGUGGUUAUAGUUGAGACCUUGCUAAGGUCCCAUGUUCGGAGUCAGUGUUCUACUAGGUAUCGAAACUAGAGCAUUUGGUGGAAGCAAUAUAUGCUUUCUGAAGAAAAAUGUUGUUGCAGUGCUUAUGGCUUCUUAUGAAAAGGAAUUAAAUUUAUUUUUUGAUGUAUGUCUUGGAUAUCUGGAUGGAGAUGAUCUAUGAUUUGGUGACGAAUAGAUUAGCUAGGUUGAAUUUGCCACUUGAAUUAAAUUUUCUAUGCAUGGGACUCUUCAAAUAAUUGCCACAAUUUGUUAUGUAAACAGACUUAUUCCUGAGUUUUUUUCGUCGCUUCUCGAUGCUAGAAUGGAUAUAUAGUGACUUCUUAUAUUAUUUUUA